Molecule: ribosomal RNA, 324 nt
Filed under: uncultured eukaryote
Lineage: Eukaryota
Description: partial 18S ribosomal RNA
Rfam family: Eukaryotic small subunit ribosomal RNA
Source: RNAcentral
CCCUUAGAUGUCCUGGGCUGCACGCGCGCUACACUGAUGUGUCCAGUAAGCACCUAACCUAUUCCGAGAGGAGCGGGUAACCUUAGCAAAGCACAUCGUGAUGGGGAUAGAUUAUUGCAAUUAUUAGUCUUGAACGAGGAAUUCCUAGUAAGCACAAGUCAUCAGCUUGUGUUGAUUACGUCCCUGCCCCUUGUACACACCGCCCGUCGCUCCUACCGAUUGAAUGUUCCGGUGAGCUCUUCGGACUGCGCGGUCUGCAGUUUCUGCGUUCCGUGCGGAAAGUUGUGCAAACCUUAACAUUUAGAGGAAGGAGAAGUCGUAACA